GCUAGCGGCAGGCCUAACACAUGCAAGUCGAACGGUAACAGAUCUAGCUUGCUAGAUGCUGACGAGUGGCGCACGGGUGCGUAACGCGUAUACAAUCUACCUCUAACUGAGGGAUAGCCCAGAGAAAUUUGGAUUAAUACCUCAUAGUAUUAUAGAAAGGCAUCUUUUUAUAAUUAAAACUCCGGUGGUUAGAGAUGAGUAUGCGUCCUAUUAGCUAGUUGGUAAGGUAAUAGCUUACCAAGGCAACGAUAGGUAGGGGGCCUGAAAGGGUGAUCCCCCACACUGGUACUGAGACACGGACCAGACUCCUACGGGAGGCAGCAGUGAGGAAUAUUGCACAAUGGAGGAAACUCUGAUGCAGCCAUGCCGCGUGCAGGAUGAAUGCCCUAUGGGUUGUAAACUGCUUUUAUACAAGAAGAAACAUCAGUACGUGUACUGACUUGACGGUAUUGUAUGAAUAAGCACCGGCUAACUCCGUGCCAGCAGCCGCGGUAAUACGGAGGGUGCAAGCGUUAUCCGGAUUUAUUAGGUUUAAAGGGUCCGCAGGCGGAAUAUUAAGUCAGUGGUGAAAGCCUACAGCUCAACUGUAGAACUGCCAUUGAAACUGUUAUUCUUGAGUAUGGAUGAAGUGGGCGGAAUAUGUCAUGUAGCGGUGAAAUGCGUAGAUAUGACAUGGAACACCAAUUGC
This 688-nucleotide ribosomal RNA is filed under the name uncultured Flavobacteriia bacterium. RNAcentral's name for it is "bacterial SSU rRNA". It matches the Rfam family "Bacterial small subunit ribosomal RNA", at positions 35 to 716 of the family's 1533-position model. The record is from RNAcentral. Lineage: Bacteria; Pseudomonadati; Bacteroidota; Flavobacteriia.